UAUCAGGCACGCCCAAAACAUCUAGCCACGCCACACCCAGGGCCCUCAGCAGUGAUUAACCUUAAAAUAAACGUCAGUUUGAUUUAGCCAAUGAAGACAGAGCCGGCCAAUCUGGUGCCAGCCGCCGCGGUUACACCUAUGGCUCAAGUUGACCCGGCGUAAAGCGUGAUUAAAGGGUCAAACUUAAAUAAGACUGUGAAAAGUUUAUUUUUAAAAGCCUACCUCGAAAGAUACCCCAAUCAACCAACUUGAACUCACCACAACUAAGACACAAACUGGGAUUAGAUACCCCACUAUGCCUAGUCGUAAACUCUAACUUACCGCCAGGGAACUACGAGCAAAGCUUAAAACCCAAAAGACUUGACGGUGCCCCACAUCCUUCUAGAGGAGCCUGUCCUGUAAUCGAUACCCCCCGUUCAACCUCACCAUUUUUAGUUCAGCCUGUAUACUUCCGUCGUCAGCUUACCGCGUGAGCGAUAGUAAGCUUAAUGGAACCCCUCACGUCAGGUCAAAGUGCAGCACAUAAAAUGGAUAGAGAUGGGCUACACUUUCUAUAGAAGAAACGAAAAAGUUAUGUGAAACACUUAGAAGGCGGAUUUAGCAGUAAGAGAAUAGAGUACUUUUCUUAACGGCACUGGGGUGUGUACACACCGCCCGUCACCCUCU
This 666-nucleotide ribosomal RNA is filed under the name Pristimantis ockendeni (Carabaya robber frog). RNAcentral describes it as "partial 12S ribosomal RNA". It matches the Rfam family "Microsporidia small subunit ribosomal RNA", at positions 285 to 1208 of the family's 1311-position model. The record is from RNAcentral. Lineage: Eukaryota; Metazoa; Chordata; Amphibia; Anura; Strabomantidae.